GGCCUUCUUCCACCUAGAAACAGAGUUUGCACAUGGGUCCUGGAACCCGGGCACACCAAUCCCCAGCUAACAAAAUCCCCGAGUUGGAGGAUUUGAGAGGGUCAAGUUUGGCCCAAGAACCCGCAGUCCUCUUUGGCCUUCGGCCCUCUAUUUCUAAGUGUGGGCUUCUGGCACCGCGGCUCUGGGCAGAGCCCAUGCUGCUUUAGCGCUGGGUGGUUUCAAUGACGACAACAAUUAUCACAGUGAUGGUGACCUUCACCCCAACAGGACUGCUGUGUGUGAAGCACUCAAGAGAGCCCCUGCAACCAACCUGCCAGGAGUCAGCUCCUGAAAACAGGGUCGGAAAAGGUCACUGGCCAUCAGAAUCGAGCUGUUGGCAAAAAGCUGGAAAGGUUAGGAGCUUUGUCUAUUUCAAGGGCAACAAAUUGCUUUGACCCUGAGGACCCUGAAGACGAGUUUCCCUCACUGCAGCUCUCAAGACAACAGGGAUCAGAUUCAGAAAGACACUGCCCCUGUAAGGCUCUUGUUUGUCUUGUUUCUAAUUCCUGCCCUCUGCCCCCAAAUCUCAGUCCUCUAUCUGUGAAACGGAAUUCAGCCUUGCCUGUCCACAAAAUUAAGACAAGGAAUCUCGUGUGUGUUAAGAUGAAACAAGAUCUUAGCAAAGGAGUAAUGAUUUCUUUCUUAAAACAUUUUUUACUGUAGUAAAAUGUACUAUAACAUAAAACUACCAUUUCAAUCAUUUGUAAGUUCAGUGGCAUUGAGUACAUUCACAUUGUCGGGCAGCUGUCAGAGGUGUUCGAACCAGAGCGACUCCAUCUUGAACAGGGGCUGGGCAAAAUGAGGCUGAGACCUGCUGGGCUGCAUUCCCAGGAGGUUGGGCAUUGUUAGUCACAAGAUGAGUCAUUGGCUGCCAGGGAGGCAGGGGUAUGGCACUCUUCCUCAUGCUUACCAGAUGGCUGCUGGAAUUCCAGGAAUCACAUGCCAAUUCUAGGCAGGAGCAAAGAGGAAGAGACACAGUGAAAAGGGGUAUACAGCGGCAGAAGGAUCUCCUUCUAUCACAGUGGCGAGAACUGUGACAAGUGACCAUCCUUAGGGGAAAAAAGAUGCUGAGAAAUGUAGAAUUUUGUUGCCACCUUACAUUUUCAAAGGAGUUCCAUUCGUAAGUACAGAACGCUCAGAGAAGAGGCAGCAGAUCUAGGCUAUGGAGCAGCAGCUCCUAAGGGCACAGUGGGAAGGUUUCAAGACCGAGCAGGAUCUGGGAUUUGGGUAGGGGAAGGCAGUUCACAGUAUUGUGGAGGAAAUGCUGUGAAAGAGAAAGUGGAAGGCAUGGAGGCUUAAACUUUUUAAUAUGACUGGCGAAUACAAGGAUGAAGGGCAAAGGGAAUUCAGAUUCAUGGUGGUCAGAUUAAGACCUUUAGCAGAUCUGUCUCCCAGCCCCACACACCCACUUCCAGGUUCUGCUUUUUACUGAAGCUCAAAGUCUGCAACCUUCGUUCUCUGACUCCCUUACAUUUUCUUAGGCUUCUUGCUAGCUUCUGCCAAAAAGAGGCCCUGGCAGGAGAUUAGAUGGCAGAGGGCAGAGGUAAGGAUUCCAUGCAACAGGUGCUGGAAGUUGCUGGUGUGGCAAUGAGAACUGGGCCCCGGUCAAGGGAGCACUACUUUGGUAGAUCCAGAAUCAACCACGAUAACCAUGACAGUGUCUUCAACAGUGCAGCAGUAGACACAGGCCCCUGGUGCUGGAAUCCAAUCCAGGGACUGGAGCAGCAUGGAGUCACCGAACACCAUCUUGCCUUCAUGUCACUUUUCCGUUUCUUCUUUCUCUCUCUUACUCCACCAGCUACCUGUGGAGAUGUUUAACCUUUUAUCUGCAGCUGUCUGCUUAGGAACAAAAGAAAAGGCAGCUUAUUGCAUGACUCAGCUUUCAGCUUGAUUUUUUUCUUUUGGCAGAGUGAAUUGGGGUCCCAGGUUUUUAUUUUCCUUUUGUAGUACCUUUCCUCAACAUGCAAUUUAAUACAAAAAGAACAAUAAACCUU
This 2033-nucleotide long non-coding RNA is filed under the name Pongo abelii (Sumatran orangutan). RNAcentral describes it as "lincRNA". The record is from RNAcentral. Lineage: Eukaryota; Metazoa; Chordata; Mammalia; Primates; Hominidae.